Molecule: transfer RNA, 67 nt
Filed under: Tachypleus gigas (Indo-Pacific horseshoe crab)
Lineage: Eukaryota; Metazoa; Arthropoda; Merostomata; Xiphosura; Limulidae
Description: tRNA-Leu
Source: RNAcentral
AUUAAUCUGACAGAUAAGUGUUUUAGAUUUAGAAUAUAAAAAUGAAGUUUUAGUACUUCGAUUAAUA